Molecule: ribosomal RNA, 253 nt
Filed under: uncultured bacterium
Lineage: Bacteria
Description: partial 16S ribosomal RNA
Rfam family: Bacterial small subunit ribosomal RNA
Source: RNAcentral
UACGAAGGGGGCUAGCGUUGCUCGGAAUCACUGGGCGUAAAGGGCGCGUAGGCGGAUCUUUAAGUCGGGGGUGAAAGCCCAGGGCUCAACCCUGGAAUUGCCUUCGAUACUGGAGAUCUUGAGACCGGAAGAGGUAAGUGGAACUGCGAGUGUAGAGGUGAAAUUCGUAGAUAUUCGCAAGAACACCAGUGGCGAAGGCGGCUCACUGGCCCGAUACUGACGCUGAUGCACGAAAGCGUGGGGAGCAAACAGG